This 498-nucleotide ribosomal RNA is filed under the name uncultured bacterium. RNAcentral describes it as "partial 16S ribosomal RNA". It matches the Rfam family "Bacterial small subunit ribosomal RNA", at positions 28 to 507 of the family's 1533-position model. The record is from RNAcentral.
GACGAACGCUGGCGGCGUGCCUAAUACAUGCAAGUCGAACGAGAGCGACCGGUGCUUGCACUGGUCAAUCUAGUGGCGAACGGGUGAGUAACACGUGGGUAACCUGCUCAUCAGAGGGGGAUAACAUCCGGAAACGGAUGCUAAAACCGCAUAGGUCUUCGAGCCGCAUGGCUUGAAGAGGAAAAGAGGCGCAAGCUUCUGCUGAUGGAUGGACCCGCGGUGCAUUAGCUAGUUGGUGAGGUAACGGCUCACCAAGGCCGUGAUGCAUAGCCGACCUGAGAGGGUGAUCGGCCACAUUGGGACUGAGACACGGCCCAAACUCCUACGGGAGGCAGCAGUAGGGAAUCUUCCGCAAUGAACGCAAGUCUGACGGAGCAACGCCGCGUGAGUGAAGAAGGUUUUCGGAUCGUAAAACUCUGUUGUUAGAGAAGAACAAGUGCUAGAGUAACUGUUAGCGCCUUGACGGUAUCUAACCAGAAAGCCACGGCUAACUACGUG